Long non-coding RNA from Phyllostomus hastatus (greater spear-nosed bat), 3889 nucleotides. RefSeq lists it as uncharacterized. The record is from RefSeq and is a predicted model, not a curated record. NCBI's taxonomy places the organism in Eukaryota, Metazoa, Chordata, Mammalia, Chiroptera, Phyllostomidae. The transcript has 5 exons.
AGUAGGCUUCUUCUAAGGAAGACAUUUAAACAUCGAAUCAACAGCCAGUUUUUUUUUCUUUUAUUACUAAUGUUACAUGCUACAUAGUCUUUUUAUUUCUUUGUUAAGGUUCUAACUACUGGCAAAAAAUACUGCCUCCUGGGUCCCAGGAUUGUUGGGAAACUACAGCAACCUGGGUUCGGGAGAGCAGGUCUGGGGCAAAGCUGAACUCAAGGGACUUGUUCACAUGCUAGGUAGAAAGAGUACUUCUGUGAAAACCCAGAGACCAAAUAUCCUAAAGCCAGGGGCCUUGGCUGCCGCAGGGUCACAUGGUACUGUGCUGCACCUCUGCACUUCUGCUACUCGGCGUGGGCCCCGCAGCAGCAGCAGCAGCAGCGACGACACUCCAGGGACUUGAUGGGAGAUGCAGACUCUCAGGCCUGACCCCCGCCGCCUCAGCCAGAGCCUGCACUUCACUGCAACCCCCGGGGGAGGCUGCGGCACACUCGAGUGCAGGGAGCGCUGCUCCUAACCCUCUGGCUCUGAGGUCCAGUGUCGGGCAAUCCAUUUAUCCACCGCCACAGCCCCAUUCGCCGGUCGCACCUUUAACAGCAAACACAGGUGGUGGUGGUCUGAUCUGCCCUCUUGCCUUCUUCUUUCCUUGGUGGGCUCUGCGUCUGGGAACAAGCGAUGGUGGUGGUCACUGGCUCCCUCCAACGUCCUCCACCUCCCCGUCCUCAGAGCCUGUGGCCACCGCUCAGCACUGACUCUGACCGAUCAGCUGCACUGGACGGCUGCCGCGUCCCCACCCCCUCUUCACAGGCCACCGUCCUCGCCGCCCGGCCUCUGCAGGCUGCAGUGCUCCCGGACACAAGCCCCGGUUCUCCUCUCCGGCUACACUCGCCGGCCAGGUCUGCUCGCCGGCCACCUCCACGCCCACGACUCCCAAACGUACGUCUCCAGCCCCAGCCUCUCCCUCGGAAUCCAACCAGGGUACCCAGCUGCCUCCCCGACUCCACGUUCCGGUGGCAAUGCUGGCAUCUCGGAGUGAACGUGACCGAAACCGGGCUCCUAAUUCAGUGCCGGUCUACGGUGAUCACUGUGCACGCUCUGCUUACAACGGGAACUUGUUAACUCAAGCUGAUACGGUGAAGUUUUCCACUCGCCCAGACCCCCAAACACCACCACCACUACAGACUCACUGUAACUGGUGUUCUGGAUGAUCAGAAAGGAACACGAAGGUCGUAACACCGUCUCCACGAGUGAAGAAAAAUGAAUCUCUGUGUGAUUACCAUUCAAAGGGUGAAGAAUGAACGCACAUCGAGAGCCUCCUGAUGCACUGGUUGUACCUUUAUUAUUUGACCUCGUUCACUACUAGUUCCGUGAUGCAAGGUUACCAUACACAGUUAGAUAAUGUCUGCAUUGCACGUCUACGGCUAUACAGCAAAAGAACCAGAAUUAGUACAAAUACGAGAACUAUAUUUACAUUCUGUAUACCCAAGCUCCAAACAUCAGAUAGUAUUUACAUAAUAAAACAUGGAAAUGAAAACCUGAAAUCAAUAAUGUACACUGUUGCUAAUGUGCUGAACUCCUUCACCGGGGAGAGAUCAGGUUGCGAAGUCUUGGUUCAAAAAGGCCACUUAUGUUCAUGGGUUUUGUUGCGGUGCACAGGGUGGUGACACGAGACCCGACAUCUCAACGACAGGUACGUGAGAGCCACGAAGGCUGAGACACCGCCUUGGGCGUGAGAAGGCGGGCAGAGUCCUCACGUGAACUGAUGCCAGAAUAUGCAGCUUGAAAAAAAAGCGACGCGAAGACGGAAAACAGCACGGGACAGCCAGGGUCUGGCGAGAGACCAACCUCGGCGCAGACCUCCCAUCUGAGCACGGCCGUCUGUUCGGCCGUGAGUUUUUAACAUGGAGUCUGUGUCAACUCUCAUUUCUUCCUUCAGGUGGUUAGAGGCUUUCCUAAGAUUUUAUGGGGCUCGAAUACGAAUUUCAUAAAUGGCCUUUUGAACAGCAAAAGCAGAUAAUCUCUCGGCUGAUAUUUCAAUUCGAAGGAAACACAUAUCAGUACAUUCCUACCUCACACAGUAAUGGCUUGGCCACACACUUGGCUGAAUCAUCGCUGGCUACGGUGGACAGCUGCAUGCAGGACACACGGGUUAGAGUCCUACUGGAAAUACAUUCAGCAUACCUUCUGAGGGCAGCAGCAGAGUUAGGGUUCUUUGUAAGGAGCAGGUUAACAGUCACAUUUUAAAAGGGGAACCGAAAGGGAAAACGAAGGACCCAAGCCAGACAGACAAGCCCCGAUGCCGCCCGCAGACCCCGGGGGGGGACACAGCGCGGGGGGCGCUGAGUACCGCCCGGCACUGCGCGCUGGGCCGCCCUCUCUUUUCCAGUCCACUGUGCAAUUAAUUACAGCUGUAUAAAUAUACAAAUACCUUACAAAAUUAAAUAUCCCUGUAAAUUAGAGAAGAAGCAGCAGGCAACAAAGUCUUUGCUUUGAAAUAUGUGCCAGGUGAAGUCAUUUUCUUUUUAGAUCCCAAAAGACCUUUCACAAUGAUUUAAUUUAUUCCUUCAUCUUGAAAGAGCUGAAAAAAAUCCAUCAAAAAUAUGAGCAGCUCUCUAAGUUCUACAGAGCUGAGGAAGAAAAAAAAACCAUAUAUAUACUGAUAAAAUCAGAGUGGUUUGCUGGUUGGGAAAAAUCAUUUUCCCCUGCCAUCACCCGGUUUUAACGAUGUACUGCAAUUUAGGUGCCCGCCCAGCCGCAGCGGCAGCCUUCCCGAGCUCCUGGCUGUGUGCAGGGGCUGGCCGGCCCCGCAGAGCCCGGCCUGAGAGCUGGCUGACCCCCAGGCAGGCGCAGGCAGGAGGGCGCGCGCCGGUCUGGUGCGGGCUGUGAGGCCGGGCUUUGCUCUGGCAGGAGACAGGAGGAGGGGAAGGAUGGGAGCAGAUGAUUAACAAGCACUCAUUUCUUCACUUGUGUACGAGUCUCCUUACUUGCCUUUUUUUUUUUUUUGCUUGUUAAAAGAAGUAUUUUAGGAAGAAAAUUUAAAAACCUUCAAAAUGGUGGUUUUCUUAAAACGUUAAGUUCAUUACUAAACUUCCCUGCCACUAUGGCUUUGGCUAAAGCCCCAUAAAUAGCUCCUGUCAUAAACCGUCUCUCAGAGCUUCAAAGUGGGGACGAAUCUGUCUGCAAAGGGAAAGUCAACUCUGAGACCGCUCUAACUCAGAUCUGAGGAUGGGCCCUUUGAGAAAGAGAGACCAAGAGAGGCCGUCCGUGCCUGUCAGCCGCAGCGGCGGAGGCCCCUUGGCUGGGAGCAGGCGCUCCCACCCGCCCGAGCGAGAGCCCUGCUUUCUCGCGAAGCGGUCCUGCCCAGGGAAGGCUACGAACAGUCCACGCAGCCUGUUCUAAGAGCUGACACCUCCAAAGCAAAGACCGUCCAGAGGGUUUUGAGUCAGAAGCAGCAGCAAAAGCCAUUUCAGUGUAACACGUGGUUGUGCCCUCCCUCAGCCUUCCCCACCUACUGUCACACAGACAUGGGUCCUUCCCCCACACUUUGACACAGCAGCAGCAUCCAUGACUUAAUUCUGAAAGGAACCUUCGGAUUUCAUUUCCCUGAAAUUAGAUUUAAUUCCAGCCCAGGAAGCUGUGUCUGAGCACAGACAGGCCCUGGAUUUGAGCACACACACCAGAAGGGUGCACUGUGUCUAUUGGACAGCGCAGAAUCCUCUGAGUACGUUAAAAUACCGUUUAGAAAGCAAGUAACAUUACUGUUAGUGACCUAUGUUUAAAGAGAAGAAAGUUAAAAAGAUCUACUAGAGUUUUCACUGACCACUUUUCAGGCGAGGUCACUGCCUGUGAUUUCUAUCCUUUCUUUUCUUGAGCUCUCCCUGCCUUGCCCCCCCCG